GCGCCGGUAGCUCAGCUGGAUAGAGCAUCAGCCUUCUAAGCUGAGGGCCACUGGUUCGAAUCCAGUCCGGCGUG
Molecule: transfer RNA, 74 nt
Filed under: Ignavibacteria bacterium
Lineage: Bacteria; Pseudomonadati; Ignavibacteriota; Ignavibacteria
Also listed under: 1 other name
Description: tRNA-Arg
Rfam family: tRNA
About the family: Transfer RNA (tRNA) molecules are approximately 80 nucleotides in length. Their secondary structure includes four short double-helical elements and three loops (D, anti-codon, and T loops).
Source: RNAcentral